UGCAUACAAAUAAGCGGAGGAAAAGAAACCAACAGGGAUUGCCUCAGUAGCGGCGAGUGAAGCGGCAAAAGCUCAAAUUUGAAAUCUGGCGUCUUUGGCGUCCGAGUUGUAAUUUGAAGAAGGUAUCUUUGGGCCCGGCUCUUGUCUAUGUUCCUUGGAACAGGACGUCACAGAGGGUGAGAAUCCCGUGCGAUGAGAUGGCCCGGGUCUAUGUAAAGUUCCUUCGACGAGUCGAGUUGUUUGGGAAUGCAGCUCUAAGUGGGUGGUAAAUUCCAUCUAAAGCUAAAUAUUGGCGAGAGACCGAUAGCGAACAAGUACAGUGAUGGAAAGAUGAAAAGAACUUUGAAAAGAGAGUGAAAAAGUACGUGAAAUUGUUGAAAGGGAAGGGCUUGAGAUCAGACUUGGUAUUUUGCAAGUUUCUCUUUCGGGGGUGGCCUCUGCGGUUUUCCGGGCCAGCAUCGGUUUGGAGCGGUAGGAUAAUGGCGGGGGAAUGUGGCACGACUUUGGUUGUGUGUUUUAGCCUCUGACGAUACUGCCAGCCUAGACCGAGGACUGCGGUUUUUUCCUAGGAUGUUGGCAUAAUGAUCUUUAGUCGCCCGUCUUGAACCAACGGGACC
RNAcentral lists this ribosomal RNA (617 nucleotides) under Candida dubliniensis. RNAcentral describes it as "eukaryotic LSU rRNA". It matches the Rfam family "Eukaryotic large subunit ribosomal RNA", at positions 37 to 664 of the family's 3401-position model. The record is from RNAcentral. Lineage: Eukaryota; Fungi; Ascomycota; Pichiomycetes; Serinales; Debaryomycetaceae.